GACGAACGCUGGCGGCGUGCUUAACACAUGCAAGUCGAACGGAAAGGCCCUGCUUUUGUGGGGUGCUCGAGUGGCGAACGGGUGAGUAACACGUGAGUAACCUGCCCUUGACUUUGGGAUAACUUCAGGAAACUGGGGCUAAUACCGGAUAGGAGCUCCUGCUGCAUGGUGGGGGUUGGAAAGUUUCGGCGGUUGGGGAUGGACUCGCGGCUUAUCAGCUUGUUGGUGGGGUAGUGGCUUACCAAGGCUUUGACGGGUAGCCGGCCUGAGAGGGUGACCGGCCACAUUGGGACUGAGGUACGGCCCAGACUCCUACGGGAGGCAGCAGUGGGGAAUAUUGCACAAUGGGCGGAAGCCUGAUGCGACAACGCCGCGUGCGGGAUGACGGCCUUCGGGUUGUAAACCGCUUUCGCCUGUGACGAAGCGUGAGUGACGGUAAUGGGUAAAGAAGCACCGGCUAACUACGUG
RNAcentral lists this ribosomal RNA (468 nucleotides) under uncultured bacterium. RNAcentral describes it as "partial 16S ribosomal RNA". It matches the Rfam family "Bacterial small subunit ribosomal RNA", at positions 28 to 507 of the family's 1533-position model. The record is from RNAcentral.